GUCCUACGGGGCGCAGCAGUGGGGAAUAUUGGGCAAUGGGCGCAAGCCUGACCCAGCAACGCCGCGUGAAGGAAGAAGGCUUUCGGGUUGUAAACUUCUUUUACGAGGGACGAAAGAAAUGACGGUAUCUCAUGAAUAAGCCACGGCUAACUACGUGCCAGCAGCCGCGGUAAUAUGUAGGUGGCAAGCGUUAUCCGGAUUUACUGGGUGUAAAGGGCGUGUAGGCGGGACUGCAAGUCGGAUGUGAAAAUUAUGGGCUCAACCCAUAACCUGCAUUUGAACUUUUAGUUCUUUAGUUAUGUAAG
RNAcentral lists this ribosomal RNA (305 nucleotides) under uncultured bacterium. Its description in RNAcentral is "bacterial SSU rRNA". It matches the Rfam family "Bacterial small subunit ribosomal RNA", at positions 335 to 655 of the family's 1533-position model. The record is from RNAcentral.